GACGAACGCUGGCGGCGUGCCUAACACAUGCAAGUCGAACGGGACCUUUAGUAAUAGAGGUUUAGUGGCGGAAGGGUGAGUAACGCGUGGGUAACCUGCCCUAUACAGGGGGAUAACACCGGGAAACCGGUGCUAAUACCGCAUAAGAUUCUCUGGUGGCAUCAUUGGAGGGUCAAAGGAGAAAUCCGGUAUGGGAUGGGCCCGCGUCCGAUUAGCUGGUUGGUGAGGUAAAAGCUCACCAAGGCGACGAUCGGUAGCCGAACUGAGAGGUUGAUCGGCCACAUUGGGACUGAGACACGGCCCAGACUCCUACGGGUGGCUG
Molecule: ribosomal RNA, 322 nt
Filed under: uncultured Bacillota bacterium
Lineage: Bacteria; Bacillati; Bacillota
Description: bacterial SSU rRNA
Rfam family: Bacterial small subunit ribosomal RNA
Source: RNAcentral